Molecule: long non-coding RNA, 882 nt
Filed under: Ananas comosus (pineapple)
Lineage: Eukaryota; Viridiplantae; Streptophyta; Magnoliopsida; Poales; Bromeliaceae
Description: long non-coding RNA (ACOM_LNC024632)
Source: RNAcentral
CAAGAACCUAUUUAAGGUAUAUCUAACGCUCCAAUAGCUCUACAUCAGGUGAAAAAUAAUUCUGAUUAGCAUGUAAGAGGCCUACACGCAAGUAAUAAUAACUGGGACUAACGAGUUAUUAUUGCUGGCAGAUCGGGUCGUUGCAAUUGGUAUCAAAUCCGAAUACCAGCUGGAAGUGUGAGAGCUAAGUGCUAUGUAGGGCAAAGUGCUACACCAAUAGAUUUGGUGGGAGCUACCUCUUAAACCUGCAGGAGCCACCUCUAGAAUUUCACAUCGCUGGUCUGCCACAUCGCCUGAUAAUUCUAAUCUGUAUCUGUGAUUUGGUUUGGACCCAACGAGGACGUUAGGGUUUAAAUAGGAGGAGUUUGUAACGCCCCAAUAGUCGCCUGAUAAUUCUGGUCUGCCACAUCCCCUGAUAAUUCUGGUUUGUAUCUGUGAUCUGGUUUGGACCUAACGAAGACAUCAAGGUCUAAACAGAAGGAGUUUGUAACGCCCCAAUAAUCCCACAUUGGGUGGAAAAAUGAUUCUGAUUAGAGUAUAUGAGACCUACAAGCUAGUAAUAAUAACUGGGCUUAAGCAUUUUGGGUCGGUGGUUUAAGCCCAACGAGUUAUUAUUGCUAACGGGUUGGAUCGUUAUAUAUGUUAUGUAUGAAUAUUAAAUGUGGGCCAAAUUGUGAGUAUUGAUCCAUCUCUCUCUUUCUCUCUCUCUCUCAUGUGCACAAUCUCUCUCCCUCUCUCUCUAUCAUAUACUCUCUUUCUCUCUCUCUCUCAUGUGCACAAUCUCUCUCCCUCUCUCUCUAUCAUAUACAGAGAAGUGAUACUUAAAUAACUUCAAGUUCUUAGAGAAAAAUAAUUUGGGUCAACUUGAGAGUACUGAUCAAU